GGAGUGGNUUGUNCCNGAAGUGGAUAGCUUAACCGCAAGGGGGGCGUUCACCACGGUAUGAUUCAUGACUGGGGUGAAGUCGUAACAAGGUAACCGUAGGGGAACCUGCGGUUGGAUCACCUCCUUA
This 127-nucleotide ribosomal RNA is filed under the name Muribacter muris. RNAcentral's name for it is "partial 16S rRNA". It matches the Rfam family "Bacterial small subunit ribosomal RNA", at positions 1407 to 1533 of the family's 1533-position model. The record is from RNAcentral. Lineage: Bacteria; Pseudomonadati; Pseudomonadota; Gammaproteobacteria; Pasteurellales; Pasteurellaceae.